Molecule: ribosomal RNA, 774 nt
Filed under: uncultured Neocallimastigales
Lineage: Eukaryota; Fungi; Neocallimastigomycota; Neocallimastigomycetes; Neocallimastigales
Description: partial large subunit ribosomal RNA
Rfam family: Eukaryotic large subunit ribosomal RNA
Source: RNAcentral
AGAGAGAGACAUGCGCGCAUAUCAAUAAGCGGAGGAAAAGAAACUAACAAGGAUUCCCUUAGUAACGGCGAGUGAAGCGGGAAGAGCUCAAAUUUGAAAUCUUCAAGGUUCUACCUUGACGAAUUGUAGUUUAAAGAAGUGUUUUCUGUUGGAGUUUUGGUAAAAGUUCUUUGGAAUAGGACAUCAUAGAGGGUGAGAAUCCCGUAUUUGACCAUUACUUUCCAGCUGUGUGAUACACUUUCAAAGAGUCGGAUUGUUUGGGAAUGCAGUCCAAGAUGGGUGGUAAAUUUCAUCUAAAGCUAAAUAUUGGCGAGAGACCGAUAGCGAACAAGUACCGUGAGGGAAAGAUGAAAAGAACUUUGAAAAGAGAGUUAACCAGUACGUGAAAUUGUCAAAAGGGAAGCGUUUGACACCAGUGUUGUUUUUCCGAAAAUCAAUUACGAAUGUUUUGUUUUUGAGGAGUUAUGACUUCAUCGGCUUGCUCCUUUCUUUACGAAACUUUCUUAAUGCACUUUUCGGUUAACAAGUCAACAUCAAUUUCUUUUGUUGUAAAAGGGUACGAGGAAGGUGGCUUUCUUUUCGGAGAAAGUGUUUAUAGCCUUGUGCCUCUGCAAUCGGAGAGAUUGAGGUCUGCAGCGUAGAUCCUUCGGGGUUAGAUACAUUUGUGCUAAGUUAUAGCUUUUCAUAGACAACUUGUUGACUAUGUUAGUCUUGUAGCUUACUCGCUUAUGCUAUUUUACCUACGCUUAGGAUGUUGAUCUGUAGUGCGUGCGC